GACGAACGCUGGCGGCGUGCUUAACACAUGCAAGUCGAGCGGUAAGGCCCUUUCGGGGGUACACGAGCGGCGAACGGAUGAGUAACACGUGGGUGACCUGCCCUCAGCUCUGGGAUAAGCCUGGGAAACCGGGUCUAAUACCGGAUAUGACUCCAUGACGCAUGUUGUGGGGUGGAAAGCCUUGUGCGGCUGAGGAUGGGCCCGCGGCCUAUCAGCUUGUUGGUGGGGGUGANGGCCUACCAAGGCGACGACGGGUAGCCGGCCUGAGAGGGCGACCGGCCACACUGGGACUGAGACACGGCCCAGACUCCUACGGGAGGCAGCAGUGGGGAAUCUUGCGCAAUGGGCGAAAGCCUGACGCAGCGACGCCGCGUGAGGGAUGACGGCCUGGUUGUAAC
Molecule: ribosomal RNA, 398 nt
Filed under: uncultured bacterium
Lineage: Bacteria
Description: bacterial SSU rRNA
Rfam family: Bacterial small subunit ribosomal RNA
Source: RNAcentral